CUUCAGGUGGCCGAGUAAAGCGAUAGAUUUUUAAUCUAUUUACGAUAUAAAAUUUAUCUCUGAGGA
RNAcentral lists this transfer RNA (66 nucleotides) under Lamellomphalus manusensis. RNAcentral describes it as "tRNA-Lys". It matches the Rfam family "tRNA". Rfam says of the family: Transfer RNA (tRNA) molecules are approximately 80 nucleotides in length. Their secondary structure includes four short double-helical elements and three loops (D, anti-codon, and T loops). The record is from RNAcentral. Lineage: Eukaryota; Metazoa; Mollusca; Gastropoda; Neomphalida; Neomphalidae.